GAUGAACGCUGGCGGCGUGCCUAAUACAUGCAAGUCGAGCGAACUGAUUAGAAGCUUGCUUCUAUGACGUUAGCGGCGGACGGGUGAGUAACACGUGGGCAACCUGCCUGUAAGACCGGGAUAACUUCGGGAAACCGAAGCUAAUACCGGAUAGGAUCUUCUCCUUCAUGGGAGAUGAUUGAAAGAUGGUUUCGGCUAUCACUUACAGAUGGGCCCGCGGUGCAUUAGCUAGUUGGUGAGGUAACGGCUCACCAAGGCAACGAUGCAUAGCCGACCGGAGAGGGUGAUCGGCCACACUGGGACUGAGACACGGCCCAGACUCCUACGGGAGGCAGCAGUAGGGAAUCUUCCGCAAUGGACGAAAGUCUGACGGAGCAACGCCGCGUGAGUGAUGAAGGCUUUCGGGUCGUAAAACUCUGUUGUUAGGGAAGAACAAGUACAAGAGUAACUGCUUGUACCUUGACGGUACCUAACCAGAAAGCCACGGCUAACUACGUGCCAGCCGCCGCCGUAA
Molecule: ribosomal RNA, 514 nt
Filed under: uncultured bacterium
Lineage: Bacteria
Description: partial 16S ribosomal RNA
Rfam family: Bacterial small subunit ribosomal RNA
Source: RNAcentral